AGUGAACGCUGGCGGUAGGCCUAACACAUGCAAGUCGAACGGCAGCACAGUAAGAGCUUGCUCUUACGGGUGGCGAGUGGCGGACGGGUGAGGAAUACAUCGGAAUCUACUUUUUCGUGGGGGAUAACGUAGGGAAACUUACGCUAAUACCGCAUACGACCUACGGGUGAAAGCAGGGGAUCUUCGGACCUUGCGCGAUUGAAUGAGCCGAUGUCGGAUUAGCUAGUUGGCGGGGUAAAGGCCCACCAAGGCGACGAUCCGUAGCUGGUCUGAGGGGAUGAUCAGCACAAGGGGAAAUGGAGACCGGCCCAGCCCCCCAGGGGAGGCAGAGGGGGGGAAAUUGGGAAAAUGGGGGAAAGCCUGACCCAGCCAUCCCGCGGGGGUGAAGAAGGCCUUCGGGUUGUAAAGCCUUUUUGUUGGGAAAAAAAAGCAGCAGUUUAAAACCCCGCUGUUUUGCCGUUACCCAAAGAAAAAGCCCCGGCAAACUUGGG
Molecule: ribosomal RNA, 491 nt
Filed under: uncultured bacterium
Lineage: Bacteria
Description: partial 16S ribosomal RNA
Rfam family: Bacterial small subunit ribosomal RNA
Source: RNAcentral